This 227-nucleotide ribosomal RNA is filed under the name uncultured bacterium. RNAcentral's name for it is "partial 16S ribosomal RNA". It matches the Rfam family "Bacterial small subunit ribosomal RNA", at positions 103 to 334 of the family's 1533-position model. The record is from RNAcentral.
CGGGUGAGUAAUGCUGGGAAACUGCCUGAUGGAGGGGGAUAACUGCUGGAAACGGUAGCUAAUACCGCAUAACGUCGCAAGACCAAAGAGGGGGACCUUCGGGCCUCUUGCCAUCGGAUGUGCCCAGAUGGGAUUAGCUAGUAGGUGGGGUAACGGCUCACCUAGGCGACGAUCCCUAGCUGGUCUGAGAGGAUGACCAGCCACACUGGAACUGAGACACGGUCCAG